This 376-nucleotide ribosomal RNA is filed under the name uncultured delta proteobacterium. Its description in RNAcentral is "bacterial SSU rRNA". It matches the Rfam family "Bacterial small subunit ribosomal RNA", at positions 485 to 859 of the family's 1533-position model. Lineage: Bacteria; Deltaproteobacteria. The record is from RNAcentral.
AGGAAGCACCGGCUAACUCCGUGCCAGCAGCCGCGGUAAUACGGAGGGUGCAAGCGUUGUUCGGAAUUAUUGGGCGUAAAGCGCGUGUAGGCGGAUGAAUAAGUCAGGUGUGAAAUCCCUUGACUCAAUCAAGGAACUGCACUUGAAACUAUUUGUCUCGAGUACGAUAGGGGAGGGCGGAAUUCCCAGUGUAGAGGUGAAAUUCAUAGAUAUUGGGAGGAACACCAGUGGCGAAGGCGACCCUCUGGAUCGAUACUGACGCUGAGACGCGAAAGCGUGGGUAGCAAACAGGAUUAGAUACCCUGGUAGUCCACGCUGUAAACGAUGUGCACUAGGUGUUGGAGGUGCUUAAUCCUUCAGUGCCGCAGCUAACGCA